RNAcentral lists this transfer RNA (64 nucleotides) under Loxocera lunata. RNAcentral's name for it is "tRNA-Ala". Lineage: Eukaryota; Metazoa; Arthropoda; Insecta; Diptera; Psilidae. The record is from RNAcentral.
AGGGUUGUAGUUAAAAAUUAACAUUUGAUUUGCAUUCAAAAAAUAUUGAAAUUCAAUCUACCUU